GUACACUCCUGCGGGAGGCAGCAGUGGGGAAUAUUGGACAAUGGGCGCAAGCCUGAUCCAGCCAUGCCGCGUGAGUGAUGAAGGCUCUAGGGUUGUAAAGCUCUUUCACCGGUGAAGAUAAUGACGGUAACCGGAGAAGAAGCCCCGGCUAACUUCGUGCCAGCAGCCGCGGUAAUACGAAGGGGGCUAGCGUUGUUCGGAUUUACUGGGCGUAAAGCGCACGUAGGCGGACUAUUAAGUCAGGGGUGAAAUCCCGGGGCUCAACCCCGGAACUGCCUUUGAUACUGGUAGUCUUGAGUUCGAGAGAGGUGAGUGGAAUUCCGAGUGUAGAGGUGAAAUUCGUAGAUAUUCGGAGGAACACCAGUGGCGAAGGCGGCUCACUGGCUCGAUACUGACGCUGAGGUGCGAAAGCGUGGGGAGCAAACAGGAUUAGAAACCCGAGUAGUCCCA
This 450-nucleotide ribosomal RNA is filed under the name uncultured organism. RNAcentral's name for it is "partial 16S ribosomal RNA". It matches the Rfam family "Bacterial small subunit ribosomal RNA", at positions 331 to 797 of the family's 1533-position model. The record is from RNAcentral.